UACGUAGGGUGCAGGCGUUAAUCGGAAUUACUGGGCGUAAAGCGUGCGCAGGCGGUUUCUUAAGUCUGAUGUGAAAGCCCACGGCUCAACCGUGGAGGGUCGUUGGAAACUGGGGAACUUGAGUGCAGAAGAGGAAAGUGGAAUUCCAAGUGUAGCGGUGAAAUGCGUAGAGAUUUGGAGGAACACCAGUGGCGAAGGCGACUUUCUGGUCUGUAACUGACACUGGGGCGCGAAAGCGUGGGGAGCAAACAGG
This 253-nucleotide ribosomal RNA is filed under the name uncultured bacterium. RNAcentral describes it as "partial 16S ribosomal RNA". It matches the Rfam family "Bacterial small subunit ribosomal RNA", at positions 524 to 776 of the family's 1533-position model. The record is from RNAcentral.